Molecule: ribosomal RNA, 583 nt
Filed under: uncultured Glomeromycotina
Lineage: Eukaryota; Fungi; Glomeromycota
Description: LSU rRNA
Rfam family: Eukaryotic large subunit ribosomal RNA
Source: RNAcentral
CAUGGAGGGUGAGAAUCCCGUCCGGUUGACCUCAGGAUGCUCUACGUUAACGCAUUCUAAGAGUCGAGUUGUUUGGGAUUGCAGCUCAAAAUGGGAGGUAAAUUUCUCCUAAGGCUAAAUACAGGCGAGAGACCGAUAGCGAACAAGUACCGUGAGGGAAAGAUGAAAAGAACUUUGAAAAGAGAGUUAAACAGUACGUGAAAUUGUUGAAAGGGAAACGAUUGAAGCCAGUCGUACUGACGGGAAAUCAACUUUUCGAGUGCUUGUCGUGAAUGACGUUGAGCUUCACGGCCUUCGUUGCUUGCGUUAUGGUGCUUUUGAGGUGUACUUUUCCGUAUGGUAAGUCAACAUCGAUUUUGAUCGUCAUAAAAUGAUCGGAGGAAUGUGGCUCUGAUCUUGUAUCGGAGUGUUAUAGCCUUUGAUAGAUGUGACGAUUGGGAUCGAGGAUUGCAACGAAUACCCUUUGGGCUAUCCGUCUGACCUCUGAAAGUCGCUCGGGUGUCGAAAGCGUGCUUAUGACAUUUUAGUUGGCGGUCAAAAGGUUAGAACGUGAUUACAUUCGUUAAGGAUGUUGACGUAAUGG